AGCAGUCGCCGCGGGAAUACGGAGGGUGCAAGCGUUAAUCGGAAUUACUGGGCGUAAAGCGCACGCAGGCGGUCUGACAAGUCAGAUGUGAAAUCCCCGGGCUUAACCUGGGAACUGCAUUUGAAACUGUCAGGCUGGAGUCUUGUAGAGGGGGGUGGAAUUCCAGGUGUAGCGGUGAAAUGCGUAGAGAUCUGGAGGAAUACCGGUGGCGAAGGCGGCCCCCUGGACAAAGACUGACGCUCAGGUGCGAAAGCGUGGGGAGCAAACAGGAUUAGAUACCCGGGUAGUCCCUGUCUCUUAUAC
Molecule: ribosomal RNA, 303 nt
Filed under: uncultured bacterium
Lineage: Bacteria
Description: partial 16S ribosomal RNA
Rfam family: Bacterial small subunit ribosomal RNA
Source: RNAcentral